Molecule: ribosomal RNA, 372 nt
Filed under: uncultured organism
Description: bacterial SSU rRNA
Rfam family: Bacterial small subunit ribosomal RNA
Source: RNAcentral
CAGAGGGUGCAAACGUUGUUCGGAAUUACUGGGCGUAAAGCGCGUGUAGGCGGCUGCGUGUGUCGGGCGUGAAAUCCCAUGGCUCAACCAUGGAAGUGCACCCGAAACUGCGUAGCUAGAGUCCUGGAGAGGAAGGUGGAAUGCUUGGUGUAGAGGUGAAAUUCGUAGAUAUCAAGCGGAACACCGGUGGCGAAGGCGGCCUUCUGGACAGUGACUGACGCUGAGACGCGAAAGCGUGGGGAGCAAACAGGAUUAGAUACCCUGGUAGUCCACGCCGUAAACGAUGAGUGCUAGGUGUCACGGGCUUUGACCCUCGUGGUGCCGAAGCUAACGCGUUAAGCACUCCGCCUGGGGAGUACGGCCGCAAGGCUA